GAGGUUAUAGCUCACUGGUAGAGUGCAUGCUUAGCAUGCACAAGCUCCUGGGUUCAAUCCCCAGUGCCUCCA
Molecule: transfer RNA, 72 nt
Filed under: Camelus bactrianus (Bactrian camel)
Lineage: Eukaryota; Metazoa; Chordata; Mammalia; Artiodactyla; Camelidae
Also listed under: 2 other names
Rfam family: tRNA
About the family: Transfer RNA (tRNA) molecules are approximately 80 nucleotides in length. Their secondary structure includes four short double-helical elements and three loops (D, anti-codon, and T loops). Further hydrogen bonds mediate the characteristic L-shaped molecular structure. tRNAs have two regions of fundamental functional importance: the anti-codon, which is responsible for specific mRNA codon recognition, and the 3' end, to which the tRNAs corresponding amino acid is attached (by aminoacyl-tRNA synthetases). tRNAs cope with the degeneracy of the genetic code in two manners: having more than one tRNA (with a specific anti-codon) for a particular amino acid; and 'wobble' base-pairing, i.e. permitting non-standard base-pairing at the 3rd anti-codon position.
Source: Rfam by way of RNAcentral